This 423-nucleotide ribosomal RNA is filed under the name uncultured bacterium. Its description in RNAcentral is "bacterial SSU rRNA". It matches the Rfam family "Bacterial small subunit ribosomal RNA", at positions 207 to 622 of the family's 1533-position model. The record is from RNAcentral.
AAGACCUUGCGCUUUUGGAGCGGCCGAUGCCUGAUUAGCUUGUUGGUAAGGUAAAAGCUUACCAAGGCUUCGAUCAGUAGCUGGUCUGAGAGGACGACCAGCCACACUGGGACUGAGACACGGCCCAGACUCCUACGGGAGGCAGCAGUGGGGAAUUUUGGACAAUGGGGGCAACCCUGAUCCAGCCAUGCCGCGUGAGUGAAGAAGGCCUUCGGGUUGUAAAGCUCUUUCAGCCGGAACGAAACGGUUACGGAUAACACCCGUGACUACUGACGGUACCGGAAGAGGAAGCACCGGCUAACUACGUGCCAGCAGCCGCGGUAAUACGUAGGGUGCGAGCGUUAAUCGGAAUUACUGGGCGUAAAGCGUGCGCAGGCGGUUUUGUAAGUUAGAUGUGAAAGCCCCGGGCUCAACCUGGGAACU